Helianthus annuus (common sunflower) is the source of this 1117-nucleotide long non-coding RNA. RefSeq lists it as uncharacterized. The record is from RefSeq and is a predicted model, not a curated record. The transcript has 4 exons. Lineage: Eukaryota; Viridiplantae; Streptophyta; Magnoliopsida; Asterales; Asteraceae.
CAGAUAUUUCUUGAGCAUUGGACUCCGUUAAUGGUUGCUGCAACGUAUGGAAGCGUGAGUGUUUUGAAACUAAUAAUUUCUCAACCCAAGGUGGAUGUAAACUCUAUUGUGGCCCGGAUAAGUGCACUGCACUUCACUGUGCGGCUUCUGGUGGUUCUGUUGAUGCUUUUGAAGUUGUUAAGUUGCUUCUUUCCAUGGGCGCUGAUCCGAAGUUUGAAUACGCAAAUGGGCAUCAGUCGGUUGACGUUAUUGUCGUACCUCCAAAGCUAUCCGGAAUUAGAUCGUCUCUCGAAGAGCUUCUCGUGAACAGUUCAUCCGAUGGGUCGGUUGGGUAUCGUAAGCUAACCGUUUCCGUCAACACAUCAAGCUCUUGGUCUCCAACCCUAUCGUCAUCACCGGAUAACGGUUCACCCUGUUCUCCUUCAAAGGUAUUAGAUGAGAGUUUCCAGCCUAAUGUUGUUUGAAAGUUUAAAGACAUACAGGAUAUGAGAAGCGAGGAUUGUCAUAAAUUGGAUGUAUUUACUUCGACGAUUCCAAGGGAGCCUUGAAAUUGAAGAAACACAAUUGCUUAAAAAGCGAAAUUAAAUAGAUGGAAACCAUGACAGGAAAAAAAGUUGAGCUAGAAGCUAUGCAGAAAUAUUUUGACACCAACGAAGCUGAGAUGCGAAUAAAUCAGUUUUGUAUGCUACUAUAUAAAUCAUUUUUUGUCAGGUUGGUGACUUCGCGAUAGCAGCUGUAACUGCUAUCCAUGUAAGUAUUAAUCAUCUUCGAGCAAAGCCGACAACUCAGCGUAUUAACUCUCGCAUGCAGCCAAAUGAUGAAGUCUACCAUCUCUUCCAUCUUUGUGAAUCUUCUAUACAAUUUAUCCAAUCACUUUACAAACACAUGUUAUUCCGGGAGCGCCUCGCUGAAAAUAAGGAACUAUGUGGAGCAAGUGCUAUUCUUCAGUUGGUUCAAAACACCUUAAAACUGCCAGAACAUGAUGAUCCACUUCUUGCAAGUGUUGUUGAUAGGCUUAAAUCAAAAGUUUUAUCUAUAGUAAGCCCAAUCAUGUGUAGACAUUAUCUACAUAAGUAAGGGAACGUUUUUUUUAUUUCAAGGUUUAUGCUUAAAUGUA